UUCGAUUCUGGCUCAGAUUGAACGCUGGCAGGAUGCCUUACAUGCAAGUCGAACGGCUUGGCACGGACUUCGGUCUGGUGGCGAGUGGCGAACGGGUGAGUAAUGUAUCGGAACGUGCCUAGUAGCGGGGGAUAACUGCGCGUAGUAAUAACACCGCAUACGCCCUUCGGGGAAAGCGGGGGACCUUCGGGCCUCGCGCACUAUUAGAGCGGCCGAUAUCGGAUUAGCUAGUUGGUGGGGUAACGGCUCACCAAGGCGACGAUCCGUAGCUGGUUUGAGAGGACGACCAGCCACUGGGACUGAGACACGGCCCAGACUCCUACGGGAGGCAGCAGUGGGGAAUUUUGGACAAUGGGGGAAACCCUGAUCCAGCCAUCCCGCGUGUGCGAUGAAGGCCUUCCGGGUUGUAAAGCACUUUUGGCAGGAAAGAAACGUCGUGGGUUAAUACCCCGCGAAACUGACAGUACCUGCAGAAUAAGCACCGGCUAACUACGUGCAACAUACCCGGUAAUACGUAGGGUGCAAGCGUUAAUCGGAAUUACUGGGCGUAAAGCGUGCGCAGGCGGUUCGAAGAAAGAUGUGAAAUCCCAGAGCUUAGCUGCUUUGGAACUGCAUUUUUAACUACCGGGCUAGAGUGUGUCAGAGGAAGUGGAAUUCCGCGUGUAGCAGUGAAAUGCGUAGAUAUGCCUGGAGGAACCUACCGAUGGCGAAGAAGCUCGCUCCUGGGAUAACACUGACGCUCAUGCGAAAAAGCGUAGAACAAACAGGAUUAGAUACCCUGGUAGUCCACGCCUAACGAUAUCAACUUCGCUGUUGGGGCCUUCGGAGCCGCUGGCCGCGCAACUAACGCGUGAAGUUGACCGCCUGGGGAAAUACGGUCGCAAGAUUAAAACUCAAGGAAUUGACGGGGACCCGCGGCGGUGGAUGAUGGAUCCAUUCGAUGCAACGCGAAAAGUACCUACCCUUGAGCAUGUCUGGAAUGCCAGAGAUUUGGCAGUGCCUCGCAGAGAACCGGAACACAAGUGCUGCAUGGCUGUCGUCAGCUCGUGUCGUGAGAUGUUGGGUUAAGUCCUGCUGCGGCGCAACCCUUGCCGUGUUAGUUGCUACGAAAGGGCACUCUAAUGAGACUGCCGGUGACAAACCGGAGGAAGAGAGUGGGGAUGACGUCAAGUCCUCAUGGCCCUUAUGGUGGGCUUCGUCAUACAAUGGUCGGGACAGAGGUCGCCAACCCGCGAGGGGGAGCCAAUCCCAGAAGCCCGAUCGUAGUCCGGAUCGCAGUCUGCAACUCGACUGCGUGAAGUCGGGAGAUCGCUAAGUAAUCCGCGGAUCAGCAUGUCGCGGUGAAUACGUUCCCGGGUCUGUGCACGCUUACCGUCACACCGCGGGAGUGGUUUUACCAGAAGUAGUUAGCCUAACCGCAAGGGGCGAUUACCACGGUAGGAUUCAUGACUGAGGUGAAGUCGUAACAAAGGCAG
Molecule: ribosomal RNA, 1475 nt
Filed under: uncultured Bordetella sp.
Lineage: Bacteria; Pseudomonadati; Pseudomonadota; Betaproteobacteria; Burkholderiales; Alcaligenaceae
Description: partial 16S-23S ribosomal RNA intergenic spacer
Rfam family: Bacterial small subunit ribosomal RNA
Source: RNAcentral